GACAGAGGGUGCAAGCGUUGUUCGGAAUUACUGGGCGUAAAGUGCGUCUAGGCGGAAGCAUAAGUCCUAUGUGAAAGCCCGGGGCUCAACCCCGGAAGUGCAUGGGAAACUGUGUUUCUUGAGUCUCGGAGAGGGUGGUGGAAUUCCCAGUGUAGAGGUGAAAUUCGUAGAUAUUGGGAGGAACACCGGUGGCGAAGGCGACCACCUGGACGAAGACUGACGCUGAAGCGCGAAAGCGUGGGGAGCAAACAGGAUUAGAUACCCGCGUA
RNAcentral lists this ribosomal RNA (269 nucleotides) under uncultured prokaryote. Its description in RNAcentral is "partial 16S ribosomal RNA". It matches the Rfam family "Bacterial small subunit ribosomal RNA", at positions 524 to 792 of the family's 1533-position model. The record is from RNAcentral.